CACGUAGGGCGCGAGCGUUGUCCGGAAUCACUGGGCGUAAAGGGUGCGUAGGCGGGUCUUUAAGUCAGGGGUGAAAUCCUGGAGCUCAACUCCAGAACUGCCUUUGAUACUGAGGAUCUUGAGUUCGGGAGAGGUGAGUGGAACUGCGAGUGUAGAGGUGAAAUUCGUAGAUAUUCGCAAGAACACCAGUGGCGAAGGCGGCUCACUGGCCCGAUACUGACGCUGAGGCACGAAAGCGUGGGGAGCAAACAGG
Molecule: ribosomal RNA, 253 nt
Filed under: uncultured bacterium
Lineage: Bacteria
Description: partial 16S ribosomal RNA
Rfam family: Bacterial small subunit ribosomal RNA
Source: RNAcentral